AAACUGACGCGUUGGAUGAGGAGAAGUGGCUUAAUAUGCUUGGCACGUUCGUCAAGGACUGGUUUAGAUAUGAGUCACAUUUUGUUCAUGGUAGAGAUUCUCUUGUUGACAUUUUAAAAGAGCGUGGAUUACUAUCUGAGUCCGAUGCUGUUCAACCACUAAUAGGUAAGAAAUCAUGAGUCAAGUUACUGAACAAUCCGUACGUUUCCAGACCGCUU
Molecule: ribosomal RNA, 218 nt
Filed under: uncultured prokaryote
Description: partial 16S ribosomal RNA
Source: RNAcentral